Molecule: ribosomal RNA, 399 nt
Filed under: Pseudomonas tolaasii
Lineage: Bacteria; Pseudomonadati; Pseudomonadota; Gammaproteobacteria; Pseudomonadales; Pseudomonadaceae
Description: bacterial SSU rRNA
Rfam family: Bacterial small subunit ribosomal RNA
Source: RNAcentral
UUGACGCUGGCGGCGGCCUAACACAUGCAAGUCGAGCGGUAGAGAGAAGCUUGCUUCUCUUGAGAGCGGCGGACGGGUGAGUAAUGCCUAGGAAUCUGCCUGGUAGUGGGGGAUAACGUCCGGAAACGGACGCUAAUACCGCAUACGUCCUACGGGAGAAAGCAGGGGACCUUCGGGCCUUGCGCUAUCAGAUGAGCCUAGGUCGGAUUACCUAGUUGGUGAGGUAAUGGCUCACCAAGGCGACGAUCCGUAACUGGUCUGAGAGGAUGAUCAGUCACACUGGAACUGAGACACGGUCCAGACUCCUACGGGAGGCACUCAGUGGGGAAUAUUGGACAAUGGGCGAAAGCCUGAUCCAGCCAUGCCGCGUGUGUGAAGAAAGGUCUUCCGGAAUUGUAA